UACGGAGGAUCCAAGCGUUAUCCGGAAUCAUUGGGUUUAAAGGGUCCGUAGGCGGCCCCGUAAGUCAGUGGUGAAAUCUCCCGGCUCAACCGGGAAAUUGCCAUUGAUACUGCAGGGCUUGAAUUACUGGGAAGCAACUAGAAUAUGUAGUGUAGCGGUGAAAUGCUUAGAUAUUACAUGGAAUACCGAUUGCGAAGGCAGGUUGCUACCAGUGGAUUGACGCUGAUGGACGAAAGCGUGGGUAGCGAAC
RNAcentral lists this ribosomal RNA (250 nucleotides) under uncultured bacterium. RNAcentral's name for it is "partial 16S ribosomal RNA". It matches the Rfam family "Bacterial small subunit ribosomal RNA", at positions 524 to 773 of the family's 1533-position model. The record is from RNAcentral.